Molecule: ribosomal RNA, 1513 nt
Filed under: Bacillus anthracis (anthrax bacterium)
Lineage: Bacteria; Bacillati; Bacillota; Bacilli; Caryophanales; Bacillaceae
Description: bacterial LSU rRNA
Rfam family: Bacterial large subunit ribosomal RNA
Source: RNAcentral
GACAGGCGUAGGCGAUGGACAACAGGUUGAUAUUCCUGUACCACCUCUUUAUCGUUUGAGCAAUGGAGGGACGCAGAAGGAUAGAAGAAGCGUGCGAUUGGUUGUGCACGUCCAAGCAGUUAGGCUGAUAAGUAGGCAAAUCCGCUUAUCGUGAAGGCUGAGCUGUGAUGGGGAAGCUCCUUAUGGAGCGAAGUCUUUGAUUCCCCGCUGCCAAGAAAAGCUUCUAGCGAGAUAAAAGGUGCCUGUACCGCAAACCGACACAGGUAGGCGAGGAGAGAAUCCUAAGGUGUGCGAGAGAACUCUGGUUAAGGAACUCGGCAAAAUGACCCCGUAACUUCGGGAGAAGGGGUGCUUUCUUAACGGAAAGCCGCAGUGAAUAGGCCCAAGCGACUGUUUAGCAAAAACACAGCUCUCUGCGAAGCCGUAAGGCGAAGUAUAGGGGGUGACACCUGCCCGGUGCUGGAAGGUUAAGGAGAGGGGUUAGCGUAAGCGAAGCUCUGAACUGAAGCCCCAGUAAACGGCGGCCGUAACUAUAACGGUCCUAAGGUAGCGAAAUUCCUUGUCGGGUAAGUUCCGACCCGCACGAAAGGUGUAACGAUUUGGGCACUGUCUCAACCAGAGACUCGGUGAAAUUAUAGUACCUGUGAAGAUGCAGGUUACCCGCGACAGGACGGAAAGACCCCGUGGAGCUUUACUGUAGCCUGAUAUUGAAUUUUGGUACAGUUUGUACAGGAUAGGCGGGAGCCUUUGAAACCGGAGCGCUAGCUUCGGUGGAGGCGCUGGUGGGAUACCGCCCUGACUGUAUUGAAAUUCUAACCUACGGGUCUUAUCGACCCGGGAGACAGUGUCAGGUGGGCAGUUUGACUGGGGCGGUCGCCUCCUAAAGUGUAACGGAGGCGCCCAAAGGUUCCCUCAGAAUGGUUGGAAAUCAUUCGUAGAGUGCAAAGGCAUAAGGGAGCUUGACUGCGAGACCUACAAGUCGAGCAGGGACGAAAGUCGGGCUUAGUGAUCCGGUGGUUCCGCAUGGAAGGGCCAUCGCUCAACGGAUAAAAGCUACCCCGGGGAUAACAGGCUUAUCUCCCCCAAGAGUCCACAUCGACGGGGAGGUUUGGCACCUCGAUGUCGGCUCAUCGCAUCCUGGGGCUGUAGUCGGUCCCAAGGGUUGGGCUGUUCGCCCAUUAAAGCGGUACGCGAGCUGGGUUCAGAACGUCGUGAGACAGUUCGGUCCCUAUCCGUCGUGGGCGUAGGAAAUUUGAGAGGAGCUGUCCUUAGUACGAGAGGACCGGGAUGGACGCACCGCUGGUGUACCAGUUGUUCUGCCAAGGGCAUAGCUGGGUAGCUAUGUGCGGAAGGGAUAAGUGCUGAAAGCAUCUAAGCAUGAAGCCCCCUCAAGAUGAGAUUUCCCAUAGCGUAAGCUAGUAAGAUCCCUGAAAGAUGAUCAGGUUGAUAGGUUCGAGGUGGAAGCAUGGUGACAUGUGGAGCUGACGAAUACUAAUAGAUCGAGGACUUAACC